ACCAAGCCAUGCUCACACUUUUAAGCAUAAAUCCACACUCCUUUUGUGACAUUCAUGUGCCAUAAUCACUCCAACAAUCUCUCUUCUUGUUAUAUAAACACCAACAUGGUGUCUAACAACCCUAACUCAAACACAACAAACUUACACAACUACCUUAGCAUCUCCUAGCUAAUUCCAUUAUCUUCAAGACACUAUCUUUUCUUCUUUCUCAAGCAAGAUGGCAUUCAUUUCAAUCUCCAUUGCCACAAGGAGCUUUCAGAAUGCAUGUGAUGAAGGUGAAUGGUUUUGUUAUGCAUCUGUAGGUUGCAUUGAACAAGAUAAUCACAUUGGAGAAGAAGAUUCAUACAGGGAAGGUGAUGAUGACGAUGAUGGUGGAUAUGAUUAUGCUCCCGCUGCUUAAACUCUAAUAUAUUAUCUAACUAUAGAGUUAGAAUUUGUGUUAGACUUAAGAGACAUAAUCAUAUAAAACUGACUUGUAAGGUGAAAAUUGUCUCUACUUGUAAACUUAUGUUGUGGCCUUUUCCGAUUUAAUUAAUAUGUGACUCUUAAUAUUAGCUUGACUAGUAUGAGGUCAAUUUUCUUUUCAAUGUUAAAUAUUAGCUUGUCUCUAUUAUGUUCAUCACUGAAACAUCUCUUAUUUCUAAAUGUUAACCACUCAAUAUUAACCCUAGAUUUAACCUAAUUUUUUCGCGUGACAUUACUAUAUUAAUCCUAGAUUUAGUUUAUGCAAAACAUCAUCUCGUAUCUCUUAUUUCUAAAUAUUAACCCGUGACGCAAUAUUAACCUUAGAUUUUAACCUAAUUUUUUCGCGUGACUCUACUAUAUUAACCCUAGAUUUAAUUUAUGCAAAAUGUCAUCUCUUAUUUGUAAAUUUUAACCCUUGACGCAAUAUUAACAGUAGAUUUAACCUAAUUUUUUCGCGUGACUUUACUAUAUUAACCCUAGAUUUAAUUUAUGCAAAAUGUCAUCUCUUAAUUCUAAAUGUUAACCCGUGACGCAAUAUUAACCCUAGAUUUAACCUAAUUUUUUCGCGUGACUUUACUAUAUUAACCCUAGAUUAUGCAAAAUGUCAUGUCUUAUUUCUAAAUGUUAACCCGUGACGCAAUAUUAAUCCUAGAUUUAACCUAUUUUUGGCGUGACUUUACUAUAUUAACCCUAUAUUUAAUUUAUGCAAAAUGUCAUCUCUAAUUUUAACCUAAUUUUUUCCUCCACACUUUUGCAUUUAAUGUUUAUCUAAAGUAAAAUAAAAUUAUGUUCCUAAUUAUAUGCUGUUUUUUUAGAAAUGAAUAAUCGUUAACCCGUCUUGCUAUACUUAACCUAAUCUCUUACUUAUAAAUGUUAAUCUGUCUUACUAUACUUAACCUAUUAUGUUACGUUACGGUAUCACGGAAUAUGUCAUGGAAAAUUAUUUAUGGUAUAGUAACAACGUCUAUGCUUCUUAGUAUUAUGAAAUACUAUAUGACAAUCAUGACAUUCAUCUAAACUAUUUUGUUACCUAUUACCGUUAAAUAUUACAUUCCAUAUGACCUAUGCGUUAGCACGGGUCGAUGGUCUAGUAUAAGUUAGUUUUUUGACGGACUAAGUUAGUUGAAAAAAAAAACAAAUUUUUUUUAUCUAUAAUAAUGGAUUCAUGAAGAGUAUAAAUUUUAUAAAUAAGUUUGUAACAUUGUUAAAAAAAAAAAAAUUAAGCCUACACCAAAAUUUAAAUCUGGCAAAGAAUAAUCCCAAUAUUCAAAUAUAUGUCACACAAUGUGAAUCUAGUAUUUGUUGAAUUCAUAGUUGAAGCCUAAAGUUUGAUUAAAGGAAUUGGGAGGAAGUUGAGGAACAUAGUUAUAUUUUGACUAAUGUGUAGUUGAAAAUUUUAUUUUAAUUUGCUUUACAAUUAUUAAAAAACAAAAUUUAUAUACAACAUUUAGACUAUUGACAAUAGUUUGUUGGAAGAGAUAGAGUGUGUGGAAAAAAAAAUAGAUUGUCAGAAAAUGUAUAGCAAUUGUUUGUUACAGGAGAAAGAUAAGGAAUCAAAUUUAUUGAAAAAAGAGAAUGUGUGUUAAUGCCUAAAAAAAUUUGUCAAAAGAAAAGUAAUUUAUUAUGGAUUAAAAUGAGAAUAUAAUAGCCCCCGUGAGCAUAGUUUAGUUGGCAGGGACAUGCAUUAUUAUAUGCAAGGGUUGGGGUUCGAACCCCCGGACACACCCACUUAUUCACCUUAAAAAAAGAUGAAUUCUAGCCACCAUACUACUUGAUAAAAAUAAAAAAAAAUAAAAAAAAAAUAUAAUAGGAAGAAAAAAAAAACUUUAAAAAUCCACUUCAUUAUUUUAAGUGCACUAUUCUAAAACAACAUUUAAAAAUAAACGGAUAGACUAAUUAAUGUACUAUCUGUAACAUCUACACUAUCCACUAAAUUUUACCAAACAGUUCCUAAACUAUACAUAAAUUUCUCUAAAAGUAUAUUAUAAUCAUUAAUCAAAAUAGAAUUUUCAUUGUGAUCAAUCAUAAUCAGUUUUGAAAUGCUCAUAUGUUCACCCACCAAAAAAAAUGCUCAUAUAUCCAAAUAGCAAAUGUAAUUGGCAAUGAUUUUAUCUAUUUCCAUGUGUGCAAGUUGACAAAAAUUGUACCGGCCACCACCUGCAUUGCAUUAGGUCUUGAUUGAAAGCAUAUAUGUUUGCAACUUCAAUUUCUAGUAUCAUAUAUGAUCAUUUUGGAAAAUUGAUAGUGUGAUAGAUUAGGUUGACCUAACCUUACAAUUUCUAGGAUCAACUUCGAUAUUUUGAAAAUGCAGUAUAUUAACAUAUGCAAUUUCCCCUCUAUCUCACACUUUCUUGUUAGCAAAUUUAAAUAAACAUAUACAAUUUUUUUUUUAUCAAAGGCACUAUAUUAACGCACUAGGUGAAAAGGAGAAAAAAUGUGACUAUCAUUUUAUAAAAUGAAAAAUAAAAAGUUUUCACAAAGUAAACAUAUUUUUGAUAGGUAUAAAACAUCCAAUCAUAAAAAAUAAAAAAUAAAAAAUCUUUUUUUUUCUUUUUUUUUCUUCUCUUUUUCAAAACAUCCAAUCAUAAAUUAUAGCACUACAAAUUCAAUUUUAGUUAAAUUAGUUCUAAAAUCAAUUCCCCCUCUAACAAUUUUUCUUCCUAACACAAUGGACCAGUCAUUCCACUUUCUAUUCCCUAACACUUUAUAUAACCAUGCAUCCACUCAAAGAUUCUAUCAUUUUUUUUGGCUGCUUUUUCCAACGUGGAAGAAGUUUUGCAAUGUGGCUAAACAAAAUCGCAUCACACAUGAGGCACCAAGCAAUGCUCACACUUUUAAGCAUAAAACCACACUCCUUUUGUGUCAUUCAUGUGCCAUAAUCACUUUAACAAUUUCUCUUGUUAUAUAAACACCAACUGGUCUCUAACAACCAUAGCUCAAACCCAACAAAUUCACACAACUACCUUAGCAUCUCAUAGCUAAGUCCAUUAUCUUCUUUAAAACCUCAUAUUUCAAGGCACUAACUUUCCUUCAAUCUCAACCAAAAUGGCAUCCAUUUCCAUUGCCAUUGCCACAAGGAGCAUUAAGCAUGUAUAUGAUGAAGAUGAAUGGUUUGGUUAUGCUGCAUCUGUAGCUUGCAUUGAAGAUUAUCACACUGAAGAUGUAGAUUCAUCAUACAAGGAAGGUGAUGAUGACGAUGAUGGUGGUUAUGACUAUGCUCCCGCUGCUUAAACCCAUCUAUUAGUAUUAAGUGACUAUAGUCUAUAUAGUGUAAGAAUUUUGGUUGAACUAACUUAACUCUACAAAACCGCUUUGUAAGUUGAUGAUUGUAUCCACUUAUACAUUUAUGGUUAAGUUUUAUGUUACUUAAUGUGUGACUCUUAUUAGCCGACUAGUAUUAGUUAACCAAAUGUAUGCUUCAAACCUUUGUUUAAUUUGGGGAUUUUAAUUUUCUUAAUUAUGGUCAUAGAAUAGACUUGAGCUAGUAGGAUGUAUUUGAUCCUUCACUU
This 3974-nucleotide long non-coding RNA is filed under the name Medicago truncatula (barrel medic). RNAcentral's name for it is "long non-coding RNA (MTRU_LNC001569)". The record is from RNAcentral. Lineage: Eukaryota; Viridiplantae; Streptophyta; Magnoliopsida; Fabales; Fabaceae.